CCUACGGGAGGCAGCAGUGGGGAAUAUUGCGCAAUGGGCGAAAGCCUGACGCAGCGACGCCGCGUGAGGGAUGAAGGUCUUCGGAUCGUCAACCUCUGUCAGCAGGGAAGAACGGUCACUGUGCUAAUCAGCAGUGAAUUGACGGUACCUGCAAAGGAAGCACCGGCUAACUCCGUGCCAGCAGCCGCGGUACUACGGAGGGUGCGAGCGUUAAUCGGAAUUACUGGGCGUAAAGCGCUCGUAGGAGGUAUGUCAAGUCAAGGGGGAAAUCCCCGCGCUCAACGUGGGAACUGCCUUUGAAACUGGCAAACUGGAGUGUGGUAGAGGAUAGUGGAAUUCCAGGUGUAGGAGUGAAAUCCGUAGAUAUCUGGAGGAACAUCAGUGGCGAAGGCGACUAUCUGGCACAUAACUGACGCUGAGGAGCGAAAGCGUGGGUAGCAAACAGGAUUAGAUACCCGAGUAGUC
Molecule: ribosomal RNA, 465 nt
Filed under: uncultured bacterium
Lineage: Bacteria
Description: partial 16S ribosomal RNA
Rfam family: Bacterial small subunit ribosomal RNA
Source: RNAcentral